UAAAUAGAAGCUAAUCUAGCAAUUAACUGUUAAUUAAUUUUAUACUAUUCAAUAGUCUAUUUAU
This 64-nucleotide transfer RNA is filed under the name Spirobrachia sp. YL-2014. RNAcentral describes it as "tRNA-Asn". The record is from RNAcentral. Lineage: Eukaryota; Metazoa; Annelida; Polychaeta; Sabellida; Siboglinidae.